CCCUUAGAUGCUCUGGGCCGCACGCGCGCUACACUGGUCGAUGCAACGAGUUUCUUUCCUUGGCCGACAGGCCUGGGCAAUCUUUGAACAUCGAUCGUGAUCGGGAUAGAUUCUUGUAAUUUUUGAUCUUAAACGAGGAAUUCCUAGUAAACGCAAGUCACCAGCUUGCAUUGAUUACGUCCCUGCCCUUUGUACACACCGCCCGUCGCACCUACCGAUUGAAUGGUCCGGUGAAAUCUCCGGACUGGCGUGAGUCGGAGCAAUCUGACAAACGCCGGAAAGUUGAUUAAACCUUACCAUUUAGAGGAAGGUGAAGUCGUAACA
RNAcentral lists this ribosomal RNA (324 nucleotides) under uncultured eukaryote. RNAcentral's name for it is "partial 18S ribosomal RNA". It matches the Rfam family "Eukaryotic small subunit ribosomal RNA", at positions 1470 to 1796 of the family's 1831-position model. The record is from RNAcentral.